This 460-nucleotide ribosomal RNA is filed under the name uncultured bacterium. Its description in RNAcentral is "partial 16S ribosomal RNA". It matches the Rfam family "Bacterial small subunit ribosomal RNA", at positions 338 to 795 of the family's 1533-position model. The record is from RNAcentral.
CCUACGGGGGGCAGCAGUGAGGAAUAUUGGUCAAUGGGCGCGAGCCUGAACCAGCCAAGUAGCGUGAAGGAUGACUGCCCUACGGGUUGUAAACUUCUUUUAUAAAGGAAUAAAGUGAGGCACGUGUGCCUUUUUGUAUGUACUUUUUAAUUAAGAAUCGGCUAAAUCCGUACCAGCAGCCGCGGUAAUCCGGGGGAUCCGAGCGUUAUCCGGAUUUAUUGGGUUUAAAGGGAGCGUAGAUGGGUUGUUAAGUAAGUUGUGAAAGUUUGCGGCUCAACCGUAAAAUUGCAAUUGAUACUGGCAGUCUGGAGUACAGUUGAGGUAGGCGGAAUUCGUGGUGUAGCGGUGAAAUGCAUAGAUAUCACACAGAACACCGAUUGCGAAGGCAUCUCACGAAUCCGCGAUUGACGCUGAUGCACGAAAGCGUGGGUAUCAAACAGGAUUAGAUACCCCGGUAGUC